Molecule: ribosomal RNA, 119 nt
Filed under: Pteropus alecto (black flying fox)
Lineage: Eukaryota; Metazoa; Chordata; Mammalia; Chiroptera; Pteropodidae
Source: RNAcentral
GUGUACAGUCAUGCUACCCUGAACAAGCCUGAUCUCGUCUGAUCUCGGAAGCUAAGCAGGGUUGGGCCUAGUUAGUACUUAGAUGGGAGACCACCUAGGAAGACCAGGUGCCGUGGGCG